UUACUUCUUCUCGUCCAAACUCUUGAGGGAAGAAGAGAAUUAUAUAUAUAUAGAUAAGUACUUACAAAAAAAUUAACGGUCAAACUAUAUUUUUCCCAAUAUGGCUUACGAGGUAAUAAUUCGUUUCCUAACGAUAUAAUCAAAUUUCUAGGAAAAUCGUUAGAGCCAUUUUCGUAUUCGGGUCCACCCAGGUUUUUGAUUUUUGAGCCCCAUAAGGCUACAGGUUUUUGAUUUUUGAGCCCCAUAAGGUUAUAGGUUUUUGAUUUUUGAGCCCCAUAAGGUUAUAGGUUUUUGAUUUUUGAGCCCCAUAAGGUUAUAGGUUUUUCAUUUUUGAGACCCAUAAAGUUACAGGUUUUUGAUUUUUGAGCCCCAUAAGGUUAUAGGUUUUUGAUUUUUUAGCCCCAUAAGGUUACAGGUUUUUGAUUUUUGAGCCCCAUAAGGUUAUAGGUUUUUGAUAUUUUAGCCCCAUAAGGUUACAGGUUCUUUUUAUUUUUGAGCCCCAUAAGGUUACAGGUUUUUUAUUUUUGAGCCCCAUAAGGUUACAGGUUUUUUUAUUUUUGAGCCCCAUAAGGUUAUAGGUUUUUGAUUUUUAAGCCCCAAAAGGUUACAGGUUUUUGAUUUUUGAGCCCCAUAAGGUUACAGGUUUUUGAUUUUUGAGCCCCAUAAGGUUAUAGGUUUUAGUUUUUACGAAUGUACGAGUUGAACAGAGGUAUUGUAAAAAAAUAGAUCUAAAUGUGUGAAUGUUGUUUGUAAUGAAAUGUAGAACACUCGCUGAUGACAGAAAAAACUAUUGUUGCUUAAAAGUUGUUUGUUUUUAAAUGUAUCAAAAUAUGCCUCUGAAAAAGACAAAGUGCUCCCACGAGGGACAAACAUUUGAGGCUCAGAGGAAAGACAGGCGCAGAAAACCUAAGAAAUACUUAAACAGACCACUGGCGCACAAAGGCUUUGUCUGCAUGUAAUAUGAAAAAAUAUUCACGUCCUAACUGGGCUUGCGUUGCCCUGUGAAAUCAUGAAUUAAUCCUUUAUGUUUAAUGUCAAGGACAUUGUUAUCUGUAGAUCAAGAGAAAGCAUUUGAUAGAGUCAGCCAUAAUUACCUCUUUAAAGUAUUAGAAAAAUGUAAAAUCAGCCCUUUUAAAUAAAAUUUAUUAAACUAAUUUACACCAAUGCCAACAGUAGACUAAUAAUCAACCAUUAUUUAAGCCAAUCCUUUCAAAUUCAAAAAUCUGUUAAACAGGGCUGUCCUUUAUCCCCCUUUUUAUACAUCCUUUGUCUAGAACCUAUUCUAGAAUCUAUUAGGUCAGAUCCAUCUAUCAAAGGAACAAAAAUCCCGGGACCCAUCCCAGUAGUCAAAGUUAAGGCCUAUGCCGACGACACAACAUUUUUUCCCUCCUCUGAAAAUGAUAUUAAUAACAUAGUUAAAACGUUUACAUUUUUUGGCCAUGCUAGUGGUUCUAAAAUUAACAUAAAUAAAUCCUCAAUAAUGGGUGUAGGGAGGUGGACAUUUAAGGAAAAAUAUUCUUUUAAAAUUGUAAAUAAAAUCAAAAUAUGUGGUAUAGAAUACAAUAGUAAUCCUUUUUUCUUCUGUGAAGAUCAGUGGAAAAAAAUUAUUAUUAAGGCAUCCAAUAUAGUUAACAUGUACAAGCAUACAAGUUCUACCAUUUUUGGUAGAGCCAUUCUUAUAAACAAUUUGGUCAUCCCAAAGAUAGUCUAUCUAGCCAAUAUUAUAGAACCUCCUACAAAAUACAUAUUUCAAUUAAAUAACAUAAUUAGAAGUUUCAUUUUCAAAAACACACUUAAAAACAUGAAACAUACUACAAUCAUCCAAAACAAAGAGGAUGGGGGGAUCAAUUUACAAGACAUCAAAACUAAAAUAUGUGCACUCAGAUUAAAAUUCAUAGAUCAAGUAGUUAAGAAUCCAAAUGAAUUUCCCUUUACAAUAUAUUAUUAUGGUUUGAGAUUAAGCAGUUUAAUUUGAAUACAAAACAACAAUCCACACUAUUUUGGUACAAACUUACAUCCUUUUUAUAGAUCCAUUUUAGUGACUCUU
Long non-coding RNA from Biomphalaria glabrata, 2047 nucleotides. RefSeq lists it as uncharacterized. The transcript has 4 exons. The record is from RefSeq and is a predicted model, not a curated record. Lineage: Eukaryota; Metazoa; Mollusca; Gastropoda; Planorbidae.